AUGUCUUGGAUCCUUGAUCCAAUUAGUUUUCAGCCGAUCAAAUCAAAGUUUAAAAACACACAAACUGAUAUUAAGCAUCUCACAAACCAGAUUGAAUUGUCCAUCAGUGUGUUACCCUGCUACACAAAAUAUGCUAAACUGGGGGCUGUCCUUAAUACAGUCUCACCAAAGAUAAAAAAUCAAAGUUUAUAA
This is a non-coding RNA of Vicia faba (fava bean), 192 nucleotides long. The record is from the annotation of a GenBank genome assembly. NCBI's taxonomy places the organism in Eukaryota, Viridiplantae, Streptophyta, Magnoliopsida, Fabales, Fabaceae.